UCUCUGUUUUUCACAGGGGAAAACAAAAAUCCCUAAACCCUUCUCUUCUCUCCAACUCCAUCUCUAUUUUUCCCUAAACCCUUCAACCCUAAAUUUGACGGACUUCCCAUGUUUCUCUCUUCCACGAGCAAAACCCCUUAAAGCCUAUCCUUCUCUUCAUCUCUCUCUCUUAAUGUUGACUAUUUCAAGAAUGAAGUCUCUUAUGUCAGCCUCACCCUUUUCUCUUCACCUCUCAAAGGCCACACCUUUUGGUGUCUUCUCUCUGGCAUCCAAAUCCUCCUCUAAUUUGAUUCCGACCAUUCUUCAGAGCUCCAUAUCUCUCCACACAAAACCCAGAAUGAUUUUACCCAAGUUCCCAAUUUUUUCAAUCCACAACCGGAGGCUGCAAUCGGAAUCCUCUGGCUCGUCGUCCGACGGGGAGAUUCAUGUGAUUGUGGGCCCUAUGUUCGCUGGCAAAACUACCACGCUUCUCCGCCGCAUUCAGUGUGAGAGCGAAAAUGGCAGCUUUCAGGUUAAGCGACGUAAGAAGUGGUUUCACUUGGACGAAACAUUAAGAGAACUUUGUGUUUCGGGGAGAUUGAGCCAAGCUGUCGGGCUGUUAUGGGGUACGGGGCUGGGGGUGGACUCAGGAACCUAUGCUCUUCUAUUGCAGGAGUGCAUAUACAGGAAAGAAUAUAAAAAAGGGAGGAGAAUCCACGCACAAAUGGUAGUUGUUAGGUUUAUUCCCAACGAAUAUCUAAAAACUAAACUGUUGAUAUUGUAUGCAAAAUUAGGGGAUCUUGAAACUGCUAAGAUUUUGUUCCAUAUAUUGUCAGUGAAAAGCUUAAUUUCUUGGAAUGCAAUGAUUGCUGGAUAUAUACAGAAGGGACUUGACGGAAUGGGACUGCAUGUGUAUUACAAGAUGAGAGAGAAUGGUAUGAAGCCAGACCAGUAUACCUUUGCAUCAGUUUUUAGAGCCUGUGCGACUCUUGCGACACUGGAGCAUGGGAAGCGAGUCCAUGGUGUCAUGAUAAAGAGCCAUAUUGAGGAAAAUGUUGUAGUCAAUAGCGCCCUCAUAGACAUGUACUUCAAAUGCUGCAGUAUUUCUGAUGGGCAUUUGGUGUUUGAUAAAUCAUUGAGUAGGAAUGUGAUUACUUGGACGGCUUUGAUAUCUGGUUAUGGACAGCAUGGAAGAGUUAUGGAGGUUCUGGAAUCAUUUUCCAGGAUGAAAAAUGAAGGUUUGAGGCCAAAUGAUGUUACUUUCCUUGCAGUUCUUUGUGCUUGUAGCCAUGGAGGUUUGGUUGAUGAAGGUUGGGACUAUUUCUUGUCAAUGACAAGAGACUAUGGGAUCCGACCUAGGGGGCAGCAUUAUGCAGCAAUGGUUGAUCUUUUAGGACGUGCUGGGAGAUUGCAAGAGGCUUAUGAUUUUAUUUUGAAAUCUCCUUGUAUGGAUCACUCAGGUAUAUGGGGUGCUUUGCUUGGGGCUUGUAGAAUUCAUGGAGACAUAGAUAUGAUAAAGCUUGCAGCAAAGAAAUUCUUUGAACUUGAACCAGAAAAUUCUGGAAAGUAUGUGGUCUUAUCUAAUGCUUAUGCCACCCAUGGAUUUUGGAACAAUGUAGCUGAAGUUAGGUUGAUGAUGAGGAAUACAGGGUUACAGAAGGAGCCUGGCUAUAGCAGGAUUUGGGUUCAAAACAAUGUCCACUACUUUUUAAAGGGUGAUGAAUCUCAUCACCAAUCUGUGGAAAUAUAUGAACUGAUUAAUGAAAUGUCCUGUGUUUUAAAUGAUGUGGGCUGUGUUUCUGAUAUAAACUGCAAAUAACUCAUGUUGAAGAAAAAAGUUGGUAUUUGUGUCUAUUUGGCACUGGUGUAUCUUCUUGAAAGAAGGUCUGCUUGAAGGUUACAAGAUGAUGCUUAUUGCAGACGUAGUACUUUGAGGAGAUAUAUUGACUUACGAAAACCUAUCGAUGGGAAAGGGGCGUGAUAUCUGAGACACAUACAGUGCCCCAAACAUUACUCUUUUUGAACCAUAGUUAAGCUAUGGUGUGGGGCAAAGAUACGGCAGAGAUUUAUUGGCCUCUAUGUUACCACUGCUUGAACAAUUGAAGAAAAACAUCAUAGUUUAAGAUACUGUUGAUUUAGUUAAAAAGUACUAGUCAGGCUUCUGACUCAGUUUUGCCUAAUAUGCUGCCAGUCAAUUUGAAAAUAUGCUGCCAGUCAAUUUGAAGCUGAGGAGUCUUUUCGAGGAACUAAGUAUCGGUGGGAUGAAAGAGGCUAUUUGGUACUUACAAACUCUAUCAUUUUCCUAUAAUCUAUUAUGUAUUUACCAAUUUCCAAGAGCUGUUCCCGGCUGGAUUCCUGUCAUGCCAUGACAAACUUUGUAAGAAGUAUUUGGCAAAGAAACAGUUUACCGCUCUCUGGUUAGCUUUGUGGGUUCCCGGCCUUAUUCUUGAUUUCUCUUCAUUAGUCACUUCUGUUGACGGCUUCAUUGAUUCUCCAGAUGCCACCGCCAUGUAAUUUUAGUAUGCUUUUCCAUAUCCUUACCGUUCAGGAUUACAUUACUCAGAGAAUGCUUAUCGAUCAGGGAAUAUGUUGAAAUUUGAAAAGCAUUACUCACGAAGCAAAGGGGAUGCAACAAGCUGACACUGUGAUUUGAUGUUUAAAGACAAUUUUCAUUUGUUAUGGCAUUCGGAACUUUGCAAAAGGACCUUCUGUCUGUUUCCAUUGAAGGGGCAGCAAUUAUUGCUGCUUGUUCAAUUCAACUGCAUGACUUAUUUUUAUGAAGUGUUGCGGUAAUAAAGUCAAAUAAGGAUACAAGAUAUAGAUUGGAUUCUAUAGUCACACAUGAUGGAAUGAAGUUGCCUUGUUCGGCGUUGGCAAAUUUGUCGUCAUUCAGGCAAAAAUUCGGUCCUGAUGCUUA
RNA transcript from Tripterygium wilfordii, 2896 nucleotides. It is a transcript of the gene named thymidine kinase a-like, with no coding region annotated. Lineage: Eukaryota; Viridiplantae; Streptophyta; Magnoliopsida; Celastrales; Celastraceae. The record is from RefSeq and is a predicted model, not a curated record. The transcript has 3 exons.